CAAAAUGAACGAAUCGUUAAUGAACGACCAAUGAGUGAUCCAAGCCAGCCGACCACUGACACUCUCGAGCUAAAAGAAAACGCAGCUGAGACUGCACGACAGAGACAUCGACAAUCAUUCCAGGUGAAGUAUAAUGGAAGCCACCAUUAAAAGUGUCCUCUCCUACCUGGAAAACGAUUCACUGGAAAUGAUUCUACAACACUUGUCAAGCAUUGGGGUUAGGACAGCUGAUGACAUGGAAUUCAUAAAAGAUGAUGAUUUGAAACACCUCCUGACACCAGUGGACUGUAGGAAGCUACUGCAUGCCUUUUAAAAAAAGAGAUACACAGCACAACACUCAGCAACAUGAUUGUACCAUGGAAACUUCUGAACCUGAAAUUAUUUUGACUCUUACACCUGUGCCUUAUCCUGAAACCUCACCCAAUUCAGAGCUUGCAUUGGAACCUUCAAGCCAUGUUCGUGCGUAGAAUAGCACUUGGCUAUCAACAUUUUCUGUACCGUGGGAGAAAACACAUGAAAGUUUGAGAAAGUGUCUUGCACAGAGGAAACGGCCAAAAGCUGCAGAUAGACGGCAUAUGGUGAGAGUCAUUGCAGAAGCAAUAAGACAGGUUUGCUUGAACCCUUCAUUCAGGCAGUGUGCUGAACUGGCUAAGAGCAUUGUGAAUAAAUAUCCUAAGUCUUUUGAAGACCAAACAGAAGAAGGAGAACGGCUGGGCAAUGGAUAUUACACUUUAAGCAAACAACUGAGGAUAAGGAUAGAUUUUUUAAACAGAGACAAUACCCUAACACGACUUCGAAAACCAAAACGAAUGGUCCCUGCUGUGGAUGAAGACCUGCCUGGACCAUCAAGAAAGUGUGCCAAAACUGAUAGCUACGGGUGUGUCAAAUGGCAACCAUCACAAAUGCCUGAAGGAGAAAAUAGAGAGUCUCUCUAUGAGAAGAAAAUAGAGCUGAUGACUAUUUAUGCCAAGGAGGGACAAAGAGGUGCAGACCAGAAGCGAGUCAAUGACCUCAUGACUUUACUGUAUGAGCAACAGCGUCGUGACAUUAAUGCAACUCCUUCACCAACCUUGUCAGAGUUACAGAAAGAGUGGCCAUUCCUCUUCAUGCAGAACUUUUUACUACAGCACUUCUGCACAUUGACAGGAAUUGAGCUAGAGUCAAGACUACGACAAGCACUUGCUGACAAGGGGAAAAGAGUUCUACAAUAUUUCAAUUGUCAACUUUUAAAAUGGAACAAGGAAGUGAAGGCAGUCCUUCAUGGCAUUGAGAGACAGAUGGAAGACAUAGAUCCCGGACUUGCUGCAAUCUUAGUCAUGAUGGCUUACUUUAAAGAACAGGAAGACACGGUUUUCCUCUUGGAUGAUGCAAGUAAUUUUUGUACAGUUUUGCCACACACUUUCUCUUAUGAAUAUUGUACUUGUGAUUUCUAAAAGUUUUUUAUUUUGUGUUACAGGAAACUUCCUCCCAAGCAGACGCUGAGGCCCAGAUUUCCCUGCCAAGCACUCCAAGGCUCAUCAUGCUCGGAGAGUCCAUUCUGGGGGCAAAAAAAUGGAUGUUUUCCAUCGAGGGCAGAGUUGUCCUCCAAUUGAGAGACCGUUGUGGUUUCACUUCUACUCUGGCUGUCCUUUUUGCGUCAUACUAUGUAUUUAACAUAGAAUAUCCUGAGGAGGCAGCCACUACAUUGGAAUUUAUCCAGAGAUUCUUUGUCAGAAUUAACCCAGAGCACAGCAAGUGCAAUUCAAAGGUCCAGAUUAGCAGACGAACUGGGAAAAUGGUCCAAAAAAAAAACGAGUGCCUCAAUCCACAUGUGGCAUCGUUCAUCAGGGACUUCAUC
This is a non-coding RNA of Misgurnus anguillicaudatus (oriental weatherfish), 1837 nucleotides long. The record is from RefSeq and is a predicted model, not a curated record. Lineage: Eukaryota; Metazoa; Chordata; Actinopteri; Cypriniformes; Cobitidae.